UUACCAAAUUUAAAAUAAGAUCGGUUUUAAAAGGUCUUUAAUUACAAAUAAUCCCAAUUUGCUCAUACUAUUCAACCUUUCUGAGGCACCCUGUCCYCCUGGCACAUGCGCAUUUAAAUGCUAUUGAUUAUGGUAAACAAUUAUUAUUGUGGGAAGGUUAUGCAAUUCUGAUUAGAUAAGCAUUAUCUAAUCGUGGCUGGUUAAAGCCAAUCAGCUCUGAGCUCUGCAGCCCCUUCACCCUCCUCCUCUUCCUCAGCAGGUCGCUGCUGCUUCUCUGGCUCAUAAGUAUCACAUCGGUCAGCUGUGUUUGCUAUUACAACAGCUGCUCACAAAGUGAA
Molecule: non-coding RNA, 338 nt
Organism: Poecilia reticulata (guppy)
Lineage: Eukaryota; Metazoa; Chordata; Actinopteri; Cyprinodontiformes; Poeciliidae
Source: RefSeq, a predicted model, not a curated record